RNAcentral lists this ribosomal RNA (401 nucleotides) under uncultured bacterium. RNAcentral's name for it is "bacterial SSU rRNA". It matches the Rfam family "Bacterial small subunit ribosomal RNA", at positions 335 to 729 of the family's 1533-position model. The record is from RNAcentral.
ACUCCUACGGGAGGGCAGCAGUGAGGGAAUAUUGGUCAAUGGAGGCAACUCUGAACCAGCCAUGCCGCGUGCAGGAAGAAUGCCCUAUGGGUUGUAAACUGCUUUUAUAUGGGAAGAAAACCCCUGAACGUGUUCGGGGCUGACGGUACCAUAUGAAUUAAGCACCGGCUAACUCCGUGCCAGCAGCCGCGGUAAUACGGAGGGUGCAAGCGUUAUCCGGAUUUAUUGGGUUUAAAGGUGCGCAGGCGGAAUUGUAAGUCAGUGGUGAAGCCCACAGCUCAACUGUGGAACUGCCAUUGAUACUGCUAUUCUUUGAAUAUAGUUGAAGUAAGCGGGAAUGUAUCAUGUAGCGGUGAAAUGCAUAGAUAUGAUACAGAACACCAAUUGCGAAGGCAGCUUAC